RNAcentral lists this unclassified non-coding RNA (338 nucleotides) under soil metagenome. RNAcentral's name for it is "partial contains 5.8S ribosomal RNA, internal transcribed spacer 2, and large subunit ribosomal RNA". The stretch from base 1 to 120 matches the Rfam family "5.8S ribosomal RNA", at positions 35 to 154 of the family's 154-position model. The record is from RNAcentral.
GAUGAAGAACGUAGCGAAAUGCGAUAAGUAAUGUGAAUUGCAGAAUUCAGUGAAUCAUCGAAUCUUUGAACGCACAUUGCGCCCGCCAGUAUUCUGGCGGGCAUGCCUGUUCGAGCGUCAUUUCAACCAUCAAGCCCCCCGGCUUGUGUUGGGGACCUGCGGCUGCCGCAGGCCCUGAAAAGCAGUGGCGGGCUCGCUGUCACACCGAGCGUAGUAGAUCUCAUCUCGCUCAGGGCGUGCUGCGGGUUCCGGCCGUUAAACCACCUUCAUAACCCAAGGUUGACCUCGUAUCAGGUAGGAAGACCCGCUGAACUUAAGCAUAUCAAUAAGCCGGAGGA